GAUGAAGAACGAAGCGAAAUGCGAUACUUGGUGUGAAUUGCAGAAUCCCGUGAACCAUCGAGUCUUUGAACGCAAGUUGCGCCCGAAGCCACUAGGCCGAGGGCACGCCUGCCUGGGCGUCACACGCCGUUGCCCCCCCAUCUACUCCUUCGGGAUUGCGGGGGGGCGGAUGAUGGCCUCCCGUGCGCCUAGCCGCGCGGUUGGCAUAAAUACCAAGUCCUCGGCGACGCACGCCACGACAAUCGGUGGUUGCGAAACCUCGGUUGCGCGUCGUGUGCGUUCGUCGCGCAUCGAGGGCUCGAAAAAAUGCUCGGCUCCGGCUGGGCUUUCAACGCGACCCCAGGUCAGGCGGGGUUACCCGCUGAAUUUAAGCAUAUCAAUAAGCGGAGGA
Molecule: unclassified non-coding RNA, 391 nt
Filed under: soil metagenome
Description: partial contains 5.8S ribosomal RNA, internal transcribed spacer 2, and large subunit ribosomal RNA
Rfam family: 5.8S ribosomal RNA (bases 1-122)
Source: RNAcentral